Molecule: ribosomal RNA, 406 nt
Filed under: uncultured bacterium
Lineage: Bacteria
Description: partial 16S ribosomal RNA
Rfam family: Bacterial small subunit ribosomal RNA
Source: RNAcentral
AUUGAACGCUGGCGGCAGGCCUAACACAUGCAAGUCGAACGAGUGGCGGACGGGUGAGUAAUGUCUGGGAAACUGCCCGAUGGAGGGGGAUAACUACUGGAAACGGUAGCUAAUACCGCAUACCAUCGGAUGUGCCCAGAUGGGAUUAGCUAGUAGGUGGGGUAAAGGCUCACCUAGGCGACGAUCCCUAGCUGGUCUGCGAGGAUGACCGGCCACACUGGACCGGAGCAAGUGUCCAGACUCCAACGGGAGGCAGCAGUGGGGAAUAUUGCACAAGGGGCGCAAGCCUGAUGCAGCCAGGCCGCGUGGAUGAAGAAGGCCUUCGGGUUGUAAAGUACUUUCAGCGGGGAGGCGUUACCCGCAGAAGAAGCACCGGCUAACUCCGUGCCAGCAGCCGCGGUAAUUC